This 71-nucleotide transfer RNA is filed under the name Aspergillus udagawae. RNAcentral's name for it is "tRNA-Ser". It matches the Rfam family "tRNA". Rfam says of the family: Transfer RNA (tRNA) molecules are approximately 80 nucleotides in length. The record is from RNAcentral. Lineage: Eukaryota; Fungi; Ascomycota; Eurotiomycetes; Eurotiales; Aspergillaceae.
GACACUUUGGCCGAGUGGUUAAGGCGCAGGCCUGCUAAGUCUGCAACAGGGUUCGAAUCCCAGAGGUGUCG